GAUUGCCAGAAAUUGAAAUUGGAGGCGUCAGUUGGUGAGAUGUUUCUUGAGCAUUUGCUACUGGAAGAAUGUGAUUCUAUAACUGAGUUGGUCUCAAGAGCAUGUAAUUUGGAUGUACGUAGUUGUCACAACCUUACUAGUUUUUUGUUUCCUACUGCCACUGAAAUUCUCACUUGCUGCAACCUUACAAUGCUGAAGCGGCUGCCACAACUCCCUCCAUCUCUUAAGCAAUUGACACUGUGGGAUUGUCCAG
This 253-nucleotide unclassified non-coding RNA is filed under the name Hevea brasiliensis (rubber tree). Lineage: Eukaryota; Viridiplantae; Streptophyta; Magnoliopsida; Malpighiales; Euphorbiaceae. The record is from RNAcentral.